GAUGAAGAACGCAGCGAAAUGCGAUAAGUAAUGUGAAUUGCAGAAUUCAGUGAAUCAUCGAAUCUUUGAACGCACAUUGCGCCCGCUAGUAUUCUGGCGGGCAUGCCUGUUCGAGCGUCAUUAAUUCCACUUAAGCCCUGCUUAGUGUUGGGAAUCUACUCUAGUGGUGCUACCCUGGAGCUACCCCUGAAAGGGGGCUGGCCCGGUAGCUACCCUGUAGUUCCUCAAAGAUAGUGCGCGGAGUUGCGUGGUCCUCUGAGCUUAGUAACUAUACACCUAGCUUUUGAGUGUCCCGCGGCGCCUGCCGUUUAAACCCCAUCUUUUAAUGGUUGACCUCGGAUCAGGUAGGAAUACCCGCUGAACUUAAGCAUAUCAAUAAGCGGAGGA
RNAcentral lists this unclassified non-coding RNA (387 nucleotides) under soil metagenome. RNAcentral describes it as "partial contains 5.8S ribosomal RNA, internal transcribed spacer 2, and large subunit ribosomal RNA". The stretch from base 1 to 120 matches the Rfam family "5.8S ribosomal RNA", at positions 35 to 154 of the family's 154-position model. The record is from RNAcentral.